Molecule: ribosomal RNA, 253 nt
Filed under: uncultured bacterium
Lineage: Bacteria
Description: partial 16S ribosomal RNA
Rfam family: Bacterial small subunit ribosomal RNA
Source: RNAcentral
UACGGGGGGGGCAAGCGUUGUUCGGAAUUACUGGGCGUAAAGGGCUCGUAGGCGGCCAACUAAGUCAGACGUGAAAUCCCUCGGCUUAACCGGGGAACUGCGUCUGAUACUGGAUGGCUUGAGAUUGGGAGAGGGAUGCGGAAUUCCAGGUGUAGCGGUGAAAUGCGUAGAUAUCUGGAGGAACACCGGUGGCGAAGGCGGAUCUCUGGGCCUCACCUGACGCUGAGGCGCGAAAGCUAGGGGAGCGAACAGG